RNAcentral lists this ribosomal RNA (627 nucleotides) under uncultured bacterium. RNAcentral describes it as "bacterial SSU rRNA". It matches the Rfam family "Bacterial small subunit ribosomal RNA", at positions 866 to 1502 of the family's 1533-position model. The record is from RNAcentral.
AAUCCACCUGGGGAGUACGUUCGCAAGAAUGAAACUCAAAGGAAUUGACGGGGGCCCGCACAAGCGGAGGAACAUGUGGUUUAAUUCGAUGAUACGCGAGGAACCUUACCUGGACUUAAAUGUAGAUUGACAUGCUUAGAAAUAGGUUUUCUCUUCGGAGCAAUUUACAAGGUGCUGCAUGGUUGUCGUCAGCUCGUGCCGUGAGGUGUCGGGUUAAGUCCCAUAACGAGCGCAACCCCUAUCGUUAGUUGCUAGCAGGUAAUGCUGAGGACUCUAGCGAGACUGCCACCGUAAGGUGAGAGGAAGGUGGGGAUGACGUCAAAUCAGCACGGCCCUUACGUCCAGGGCUACACACGUGUUACAAUGGCCGAUACAAAGGGCAGCUACCAGGUGACUGGAUGCUAAUCUCCAAAGUCGGUCUCAGUUCGGAUCGGAGUCUGCAACUCGACUCCGUGAAGUUGGAUUCGCUAGUAAUCGCAUAUCAGCAACGAUGCGGUGAAUACGUUCCCGGGCCUUGUACACACCGCCCGUCAAGCCAUGGAAGCCGAGGGGACCUGAAGUUCGUAACCGCAAGGAGCGACCUAGGGUAAAAUUGGUAACUGGGGCUAAGUCGUAACAAGGUAGCCG